Molecule: ribosomal RNA, 301 nt
Filed under: uncultured bacterium
Lineage: Bacteria
Description: partial 16S ribosomal RNA
Rfam family: Bacterial small subunit ribosomal RNA
Source: RNAcentral
CAGUCGCCACGGGAAUACAGAGGGUGCAAGCGUUAAUCGGAAUUACUGGGCGUAAAGCGCGCGUAGGUGGUUUGUUAAGUUGAAUGUGAAAUCCCCGGGCUCAACCUGGGAACUGCAUCCAAAACUGGCAAGCUAGAGUAGGGCAGAGGGUGGUGGAAUUUCCUGUGUAGCGGUGAAAUGCGUAGAUAUAGGAAGGAACACCAGUGGCGAAGGCGACCACCUGGGCUCAUACUGACACUGAGGUGCGAAAGCGUGGGGAGCAAACAGGAUUAGAGACCCCCGUAGUCCCUGUCUCUUAUAC